CAAGAUCCAAAGACCUGCAUUUUUGUGUUUCUCAGGAAAGGACCUAACAUUACCUAGCUUACAUUUCUGUCUUCAGUUUGAACUCAAGGCUAAAUAUAUUGCCAUUUUUAAUAAGGGGAAGUAUAUGAUCAAGUAUGCAAUUUUCCCGAGUAGAGGGGGGUCUUUUCUGAUGCAGAGGCAAAACAAGCUCCAUAGGUAACUGUUUACAGGGUGAAAGGAGGCCAUCCUUGUAGGAAGUGCUUAGCUCUUGGGAAGGUCUUAGAAUGUUGGCGUCCAUCAGGGUCUCCUCACAGGUGCCACAGGCCGGGGUGGGCCUCCCUGUGCUGAAGAUGGAGGAUUCCAGGAUUCCUUGCAGGCCUAGUGAUGGCAGGAAGUCCUAAUGCUGGGACUUUCUCUGUGCUUUCCUAAUUCACAGUGGCUCCUGGACUUGGGGGACAUAUAAGGCCAAGCAGGGAGGGGUUUGCAAAAUGUCAGCUUAAGAUGCCAUCUUUUCAUUGUGGAGUUCUGUGACUGGGUAUAACCCUUCCAAGUUAAUAUGAAAUCAUUUCUUUUCAUUUCCAGGCAUUAAAAGUGUUCUUCUUUUCUCUGAAGAUAUAAAGGUUCCAUGUGGGGCUAAAAUUCUAAUUGUGGGUGACUCACUUAAAAAAAACAAUCUGCAGCAUUCCUGCUGUGGCACAGUGGGUUAAGGGUCUGGCAGUGCCACAGCUGUGGCAUAUGUUGAUCCUGGGAACUCCCUAUACUGAAGGGCAACCAAAAAAGAAAAAAAAUCCCCCAUGUCACCCAUAAACUGGAGAUGGGAUGCUGGCAAAGGGGUGAAAUAAAUAAAAGGAUUCAUUUCACACAAACUGUGGGUGGCAGAUUGUGAAAUGUAGGCUAUAAAUGUAAUAUUACCUUUUCUUGAUAAAUAUCAUUCAGUUGACCACAUAGAGUAGUUGCUUCUGAGUUUGUUUCUUAUGCUGGAGUUUAAUUUUCUUAUAUUAAUUUCACAACACUCCAUUCAGACACUAGAUUUUGUCCUAACACUAAAACAUAAGGGACUCCGUAGAUGUGUAGCCACAAAAUUGUUUUAGGAAGAGUUGCCUGUGCCCAACCUGGGAUUUUCGUGAACUCCUGUACUCGUGAGCUCCACUUUGUGUCCAGGCUUAGGCUUUGCCAGUGGAAUUGAUGGAUACUUCUAUAUGAAACCCAUAGGCUGCAGAGGUGGCUGCAAGUGACCAUCCCCGCCCCUAACCCCCAGGGUGAUAAGGACUCAGCUAAUAGCAGGCACCCCUUUGGGAAAGCCCAGCAGCAAUUGGAAUAGAUUUCUCUGAUGAGGUCUUCUUAGUCUGAGAUGUGGCUGGUAGGCAGCAGGUGGCUCGGUGGGACAGGUGGGAAGGCAGGUAAAAGGCAGGAUUGCAGGUGUGUGAUGCCAUCAGGGACUGAAGGGCUGAAGGGCAUGUUGUUUGAAGGCCACGUGGAUGGGUGGAGUGGAUGGGGGCAAGAUCUGUGGUGAAGUGUUGUCCUUGGCUCCGGCCCAGACAGAUCCUUCCUUAAAGAAGCAGACACGCCCCACUGAGGCACGUGCAGGUCCAGCUUCAUGAGAGCCUAGUUCAAAUCCAGACUCACAGAGAAACCAUCAUGGUAGCCUGGGGGCCUGAGCAAAGGCAGAUUCAAGGCUGAGCAUCCACAGGCAAGAACAUGGAAUACCUUUGAGGGAGGUUUUGGAGACCUCUGGAAGCAGGAGCUUCUGAGUUGCCUCUUUUUUUAAAUUUAAAUUUUUAAAAAGACUUAUUCUGGGGAGUGGGGCGGAGAAGUUUUAGGUUCGCAGCAAAAUGGUGAGGAAGGUACAGAGAUUUCCCCUGUACUCCCUGCCCCUACACAUGUGUAGCCCCUCCCACUAUCAAUAUGCCCCAAGAGAAUGGGACCCUUGUUAGUCAGUGAACCCACAUCAACACGUCAUCACCACCCAAGGCCAGAGUUUACACUGGGGUUGAUGCUUGGUGUUGUUCAUCCCUGAUUUUAGACAUGUGCAAUGACAUGUUUCAACCAUUAGAGUAUCACACAAAGCAGUCCCACGGCCCUAACAGUUCUCUCUGUGCACCUGCUUCAUGAAGGAUGGGAUUUCAGCUUUUAUCUUCCUGACACUUUGCUAGGAAUGAUAUAGGGCUUCUUCUCACAUUGCUGAAUACAUCACACAUACCCACUAUAUCUAUGAAACCAAAUGACAUACUUUCAAAAGAAUGUGAAGUGCAUUAAAGGGGACCUCAUGAGAAAUAACAGCAAUUUAAAUGUAGUGAACUGACUGUUUAAGUGGGAAUUGGGGAUUGAGUCAGCAAUAAUCAAAAAAGAAUAUGAGAGAGAUUAAAACAAUCAAAUUAAAAAUGUAUAUUACGGGGGAGUUCCCAUUGUGGCUGAGCGGGUUAAGAACCUGAUUAGUGUCCCUGAGGAUGAGGGUUUGAUCCCUGGCCUCACUCAGUGGGUUGGUGCAAGCUGCGGUGUAGGUCGCAGAUGUGGCUCAGAUCCAGUGUUGCUGUGGCUGUGGCAUAGGCCAGCAGCUGCAGUUCUGAUUUGACCCCUAACCUGGAAACUUCCGUAUGCCUCAGACGCAGCUCUAAAAAGAAAAAAAAAA
This 2608-nucleotide long non-coding RNA is filed under the name Sus scrofa (pig). RNAcentral describes it as "lncRNA (ENSSSCG00015000815.1)". Lineage: Eukaryota; Metazoa; Chordata; Mammalia; Artiodactyla; Suidae. The record is from RNAcentral.